Molecule: ribosomal RNA, 405 nt
Filed under: uncultured bacterium
Lineage: Bacteria
Description: partial 16S ribosomal RNA
Rfam family: Bacterial small subunit ribosomal RNA
Source: RNAcentral
GAUGAACGCUGGCGGCGUGCCUAAUACAUGCAAGUCGAGCGAAGCGGGGACGGGUGAGUAACACGUGGAUAACCUCCUAUAAGACUGGGAUAACUUCGGGAAAACGGAGCUAAACCGGAUAGUUCUCUAUUGAUCCGCGCUGCAUUAGCUAGUUGGUAAGUUAACGGCUUACCAAGGCAACGAUGCAUAGCCGACCUGAGAGGGUGAGCGGCCACACUGGAACUGAGACACGGUCCAGACUCCUACGGGAGGCAGCAGUAGGGAAUCUUCCGCAAUGGGCGAAAGCCUGACGGAGCCACGCCGCGUGAGUGAUGAAGGUCUUCGGAUCGUAAAGUACUGUUAGUAGGGAAGCGGUACCGACUCAGAAAGCCACGGCUAACUACGUGCCAGCAGCCGCGGUAAUUC